RNAcentral lists this ribosomal RNA (833 nucleotides) under uncultured bacterium. Its description in RNAcentral is "bacterial SSU rRNA". It matches the Rfam family "Bacterial small subunit ribosomal RNA", at positions 46 to 897 of the family's 1533-position model. The record is from RNAcentral.
GUCUAGAAUGCAGUCGACGAUUAAGCUCUCUUCGGAGAGUGUAUAGAGUGGCGCACGGGUGAGUAACACGUAAGUAAUCUACCCUCGAGUGGGGAAUAACGUCCGGAAACGGACGCUAAUACCGCAUAAUGCAGCGGCACCGCAAGGUGACAGUUGUUAAAGAUUUAUCGCUUGAGGAGGAGCUUGCGGCAGAUUAGCUAGUUGGUAAGGUAAUGGCUUACCAAGGCUACGAUCUGUAACCGGUCUAAGUGGACGGUCGGUCACACUGACACUGAAUAACGGGUCAGACUCCUACGGGAGGCAGCAGUCGGGAAUUUUGGGCAAUGGGCGAAAGCCUGACCCAGCAACGCCGCGUGAAGGAUGAAGUAUUUCGGUAUGUAAACUUCGAAAGAAUGGGAAGAAUCAAUGACGGUACCAUUUAUGAGGUCCGGCUAACUACGUGCCAGCAGCCGCGGUAAUACGUAGGGACCAAGCGUUGUUCGGAUUUACUGGGCGUAAAGGGCGCGUAGGCGGCUUGUCAAGUCACUUGUGAAAUCUCCGGGCUUAACUCGGAACGGUCAAGUGAAACUGACAUGCUAGAGUGUGGAAAGGGGCAAUCGGAAUUCUUGGUGUAGCGGUGAAAUGCGUAGAUAUCAAGAGGAACACCUGACGUGAAGACGGGUUGCUGGGCCAACACUGACGCUGAGCGCGAAAGCCAGGGGAGCAAACGGGAUUAGAUACCCCGGUAGUCCUGGCCCUAAACGAUGAAUACUUGGUGUCUGGAGUCAUUAAUGCUCCGGGUGCCGUCGCUAACGUUUUUAGUAUCCGCCUGGGGGAGUACGCUCGCAGAGUGA